Molecule: non-coding RNA, 117 nt
Filed under: Chlorocebus sabaeus (green monkey)
Lineage: Eukaryota; Metazoa; Chordata; Mammalia; Primates; Cercopithecidae
Source: Rfam by way of RNAcentral
GCCGGGCGCAGUAGCUCGCGCCUGUAAUCCCAGCUCUUUGGGAGGCCGAGAUGGGCGGAUCACCUGAGGUCAGGAGUUUGAGACCAGCCUGACCAACAUGGAGGAACCCCAUCUCUA